This 72-nucleotide transfer RNA is filed under the name Deltaproteobacteria bacterium. Its description in RNAcentral is "tRNA-Glu". It matches the Rfam family "tRNA". From Rfam's summary of the family: Transfer RNA (tRNA) molecules are approximately 80 nucleotides in length. Their secondary structure includes four short double-helical elements and three loops (D, anti-codon, and T loops). Lineage: Bacteria; Pseudomonadati; Myxococcota; Myxococcia. The record is from RNAcentral.
GACCCGUUCGUCUAGGGGUCAGGACACCGGGUUUUCAUCCCGGCAGCACGGGUUCGAAUCCCGUACGGGUCA